RNAcentral lists this ribosomal RNA (200 nucleotides) under uncultured bacterium. RNAcentral's name for it is "partial 16S ribosomal RNA". It matches the Rfam family "Bacterial small subunit ribosomal RNA", at positions 29 to 258 of the family's 1533-position model. The record is from RNAcentral.
AACGAACGCUGGCGGCAGGCCUAAAACGUGCAAGUCGAACGCCCCGCAAGGGGAGUGGCGCACGGGUGAGUAACGCGUGGGAAUGUACCUCUAGGUGCGGAACAACGUCGGGAAACUGACGCUAAUACCGCAUAAUAUCUCCGGAUCAAAGAUUUAUCGCCUAGAGAUCAGCCCGCGUUAGAUUAGCUAGCUGGUGGGGU